GGCACUUUGGCGGAGUGGUUAACGCGCGGGCCUGCUAAGCCCGUUCCUUCGGGAGGUGAGCUUAACCGCACUUCAUAACAUCUUGAUCAGGUAACUAACACAGCUGAAGCGUGAGUUCGAAUCUCACAGGUGUCG
Molecule: non-coding RNA, 135 nt
Organism: Amniculicola lignicola CBS 123094
Lineage: Eukaryota; Fungi; Ascomycota; Dothideomycetes; Pleosporales; Amniculicolaceae
Source: the annotation of a GenBank genome assembly